UACGGGGGGAGCAAGCGUUGUUCGGAUUUACUGGGCGUAAAGGGCGCGUAGGCGGCCACUGCAAGUCAGUUGUGAAAUCUCCGGGCUUAACCCGGAAAGGUCAACUGAUACUGCAGGGCUAGAGUGCAGAAGGGGCAACUGGAAUUCUCGGUGUAGCGGUGAAAUGCGUAGAUAUCCCGAGGAACACCGGUGGCGAAGGCGGCUUCCUGGACCGAUUACUGACGCUGAGGCGCGAAAGCUAGGGGAGCAAACGGG
Molecule: ribosomal RNA, 255 nt
Filed under: uncultured bacterium
Lineage: Bacteria
Description: partial 16S ribosomal RNA
Rfam family: Bacterial small subunit ribosomal RNA
Source: RNAcentral